CAAUUUAUACCGCGAAACUGCGAUUGGCUCAUUUAAUUCAGUUUAUCGUUUAUUCGAUAUUUACCUUACUACUUUGGAUAACCGUGGUAAUUCUAGAGCUAAUACAUGCUAAAAACCCCGUCCAGGGGUGUGUUUAUUAGAUUAAAAACCAAUGCCCUCCGGGGCUCUCUGGUGAUUCAUGAUAACCUCUCGGACCGCAUGGCCUUGUGCCGGCGGUGGUUCAUUCAAAUUUCUGCCCUAUCAACUUUCGAUGGCUGGGUCUUGGCCAGCCAUGGUGACAACGGGUAACGGAGGGUUAGGGCUCGACCCCGGAGAGGGCGCCCGAGCAACGGCGACCACAUCCAAGGAAGGCAGCAGGCGCGCAAAAUUACCCAACCCCGACUCGGGGAGGUAGUGACAAAUAAAUACUGAUGCAGGGCGCUUACGUGUUUUUGCAAUUGGAAAUGAGUACAAUUUAAAAUCCCUUUAACGAAGGAACAAUUGGAGGGGCAAGUCUGGGUGCCAACCACCCGCCGGUAAAUUCCCAGCCUCCCAAUAGCGUAUAUUAAAAGUUGGUUGAGGGUUAAAAAAACCUCGUAUUUGAAACCUUUGGGCUUGGGCUGGGCCGGUCCCCCCUCCACCGUGUGCAAUUGGCCCCAACCCGGGAUCUUUCCCCUCCCGGGGGAAUUUUAUUGGCCCUUUACCCCCUCCGAGUUCGGGGAAAUCGGGGAAAUUUUCCCCCCCCCUUCUAAAUUUAUAUUGGGAUUUG
RNAcentral lists this ribosomal RNA (748 nucleotides) under Polystigma pusillum. RNAcentral describes it as "partial 18S ribosomal RNA". It matches the Rfam family "Eukaryotic small subunit ribosomal RNA", at positions 70 to 745 of the family's 1831-position model. The record is from RNAcentral. Lineage: Eukaryota; Fungi; Ascomycota; Sordariomycetes; Phyllachorales; Phyllachoraceae.